This 444-nucleotide ribosomal RNA is filed under the name uncultured bacterium. Its description in RNAcentral is "partial 16S ribosomal RNA". It matches the Rfam family "Bacterial small subunit ribosomal RNA", at positions 339 to 795 of the family's 1533-position model. The record is from RNAcentral.
CUACGGGUUGCUGCAGUGGGGAAUAUUGCACAAUGGGCGAAAGCCUGAUGCAGCAACGCCGCGUGAGGGACGACGGCCUUCGGGUUGUAAACCUCUUUUAGCAGGGAAGAAGCGAAAGUGACGGUACCUGCAGAAAAAGCACCGGCUAACUACGUGCCAGCAGCCGCGGUAAUGCGUAGGGUGCAAGCGUUGUCCGGAAUUAUUGGGCGUAAAGAGCUCGUAGGCGGUUUGUCGCGUCUGCUGUGAAAAUCCGAGGCUCAACCUCGGACCUGCAGUGGGUACGGGCAAACUAGAGUGCGGUAGGGGAGAUUGGAAUUCCUGGUGUAGCGGUGGAAUGCGCAGAUAUCAGGAGGAACACCAAUGGCGAAGGCAGAUCUCUGGGCCGUAACUGACGCUGAGGAGCGAAAGCGUGGGGAGCGAACAGGAUUAGAUACCCUCGUAGUC